AGUAAAAUACCUUAUAAAAGGGUUGCCUUGAUGCGGCAAACAUGUCUUUUGACUUUUACUA
This 61-nucleotide transfer RNA is filed under the name Gammarus lacustris. RNAcentral describes it as "tRNA-Ile". Lineage: Eukaryota; Metazoa; Arthropoda; Malacostraca; Amphipoda; Gammaridae. The record is from RNAcentral.